Molecule: long non-coding RNA, 563 nt
Organism: Clupea harengus (Atlantic herring)
Lineage: Eukaryota; Metazoa; Chordata; Actinopteri; Clupeiformes; Clupeidae
Source: RefSeq, a predicted model, not a curated record
ACAUUCCAGAGAUGCCCCAGUAAUGGACAUUGGUAGGGCUCCGCAUGUCAUGCAGUUACAGUUUCUUUCUCCCUCAAGAUCCCACCCCUGUAGGCUUCCCCUCAGCCAAUGACAACAGCUUUAUCUCCACACCACUACAUUUACUCAUAGAUAUGAGGGGGUUCCGUCUUUGAGCCUCGUGGUCAGGUUGUCACUGUUGAACUGCUUUUGAAUGGACACAAAACAUGGCAGUUUCAGCAUGAUGAGCAUAACGCUCUGGCUACAGAUUCUUGCCAUUCCUAUGAAUCUGUUUGGAACAAUUUAUAGUGUCUAUGUCUGAAGUUUGGAGAGCCUCCAUGUUGACCUUCGUCUCAGGAAUUAUUCCCAGGCACUUGACCGUGAGGGUAUAAGACAGCUGUUCAAAAUAAGUGACGUCACUCAUUUGGUGAUGCCUCAGGGGCUUUAAAAUUAGACUGUGUCUAAUGUGAUGAUUGCUGAGGAAAGUGCACUUGAGGACAAUAAAUAUGGUGCUGAAAACGGAAAAUACAGCACAUUUUCCAAAGAAGUUAGGGGAGAUGGACUCA